Molecule: long non-coding RNA, 1779 nt
Organism: Bactrocera dorsalis (oriental fruit fly)
Lineage: Eukaryota; Metazoa; Arthropoda; Insecta; Diptera; Tephritidae
Exons: 4
Source: RefSeq, a predicted model, not a curated record
UCGCUUUACCUGCACUCACCUACUUGUGUGUUUGUUUGUGUAUGCACAUUGACUGGCGACGCGUGCAUUGUCUGACCAAUGCCAACAGCAACAACACCAAAAACAUACACACAAAUAUUUCCAUUAUCGCUCGCCUUGGCUUUUGAACCGCUACGCGCUGUCGCCAUUGUGACGUCGCGUCACUGCUCUUUCGAAAGUUAUUUGCUGAGCGCUUUUACUUAUACUUGCGGUUCACAGCACACGAGUGCUUUCCAUUCGCAGUGUCGGUUGGUCGCUGGCAGCCAUUUGCUGUUUGCCUGUUAAAUAAAAUUUAUAAUUUAAUUUAUUUAAAAAAUUAUUUCAAAAGUAAACAUUCGACGGUGAAGAUUCCAUCCGCCUGCAAAAACAGCAGACAGACGCAGACAUCGUGUGGACGCUGCAUGUUGGUGGCAGUAGGUUGUUGUUGGUUGCCGUAUGAGGUGAUGAGGAGCUGAUGCCAAGUGCUGCAUUAAUUUUAAAAUUUUUGUCUGACACUGUCAGCGGUGUUUACACUCAUUUUCAAGUCGCCAAGCCAAGGCAGCACAGACGGAGUUAGAGUUUCAGUCUGGCAGUAGUAUUUGCAUUUGUCUUCUUGCUUGCCUUGCCGUCUCUCUGUCUGCAAAGCCGAAAAUUCGUCAAGUAAAUUUUAUGAAAAGCCAACACAAAAUGGCAUAGGCUGUGCACGAGUAGCUGCUAGGAAUUGUGUGAGUGUAACAGACGAGGCUGGAUAAUUUCUGAAAGUAACAAAAAGAAAUUAAACUGGCAUGCAACUCAUUGGAAGCAAUAGUUAAAAUACCAACAAUGGAAGGAAAAAUUAUUUACGACGAGCUGAAGUUGGGAAGCGGAGUGGAAUAGACAAUAGUAACACACUCGAGUAGAUAAUUUCUGAAAGCCAAGAAAAAUCAUCUUGAAAUGAAACUCAUUGGAAGCAAAGGAUUGAAUAACAAAAAUGAAAGGAAGAACUAUUUAUGAGCGAUCUAAAAUCAGAAAGCGGAGAGGAAGAGGAGGAAGAACGGCGUGGUUUAAUUUUUAAAGGUUGCGGGCUUAUAGCUCGACUUCCAGCAAAACUACGCGCCUUAUAGAAAAAAGUUAUGUGUCAACAUUAUUGUUAAUGAGAAGAUCUACAACUUUGGUAUGAACAUCUUUUAAGGAUAACAUCACAAUUUACAUACAUAUGUGCAAAAUGCAAAUAAUCCAGCUUUUGGGUGUUUUUAUGGCGCGAAUUUCAUACUUUCAGAUAGUUGAAAGUGAAGGCAAUGAUGCUGCAGUAUUUCUUCUACGACAGUCGGGUCUAAGUAAGCGGAACAAACAACCAAGGAGUAACAACUCGGCAGCUUGCUUCGAACUACUUCAGGGUGCUUCGAACGACUUCAGCAUGCCUCGAAUUACAUCAGCAAGUUUUCUGAUGUUACACAGCAGCAACUAUUUCUGCUUAUUCAAAGAAUACAAAUAAGUACAUAAGUAUAUAAGUAUAUAGCACCGCUUCCAUGACAGUCGGCGCUACGUAAUCGGCAGGGACCCGGAUUUUUAUCAUUUUUGUCCAACCAAUGAUUGUCAUCUCAGCAGCAUGCCUCCAAAUCACUUCAACGAUGUUUCGAUUACUGCUACAGGUACAAGCUUUUACUUCAAAGCGCUGCACUGGUGUACUGCAAACCGAAAAACUUACAAAAAGUGAUAUUUUUAGACUGCUAUUUCUUACUUUUCAAACAUUAUUAACAUAUAAUUACAAUAAAUUCUCAAUAAAAAUAAAAAUAUAUUAAU